Molecule: non-coding RNA, 202 nt
Organism: Podarcis lilfordi (Lilford's wall lizard)
Lineage: Eukaryota; Metazoa; Chordata; Lepidosauria; Squamata; Lacertidae
Source: the annotation of a GenBank genome assembly
GGGCUCCCAGGACUGCUGCCGCCAGCACCGCCAGCGGAGAGGAAUCGGGGGUGCCCGGGGAGCCUAUCAAAGGAGCCAAAACACCCCCCCCACAGAGAUUGAGCCGGAAAGACACCCGACCACCCCCCCCAACAGCCGAGAGGAGCUCCAAUACCAGGAGGACAGUGGAGCUAACGCAGAGAGGGAGAAAAAGAAAAGGGGG